UAGGCAGAAGCCAGCUGGUUUAGGCGUAUAGCUGUUAACUAUAAUGUUGUGGGAUCGAGGCCCAUCUGUCUAG
RNAcentral lists this transfer RNA (73 nucleotides) under Phainopepla nitens. RNAcentral describes it as "tRNA-Asn". The record is from RNAcentral. Lineage: Eukaryota; Metazoa; Chordata; Aves; Passeriformes; Bombycillidae.